Molecule: ribosomal RNA, 253 nt
Filed under: uncultured bacterium
Lineage: Bacteria
Description: partial 16S ribosomal RNA
Rfam family: Bacterial small subunit ribosomal RNA
Source: RNAcentral
UACGAAGGGUGCAAGCGUUAGCCGGAAUUACUGGGCGUAAAGCGUGCGUAGGUGGUUUCUUAAGUCCGUUGUGAAAGCCCUGGGCUCAGCCUGGGAACUGCAGUGGAUACUGAGAGGCUAGAGUGUGUCAGAGGAUGGUGGAAUUCCCGGUGUAGCGGUGAAAUGCGUAGAGAUCGGGAGGAACAUCAGUGGCGAAGGCGGCCAUCUGGGACAACACUGACGCUGAGGCACGAAAGCGUGGGGAGCAAACAGG